CUUCUACCAAGGUUCGAUUCGAGCGAAAGCGAGAAAGCUUUGCCGCAGGCAACGACCCGAAGGGCGAAACGCGCAGCGCUGAGUCAUCCUUCCCCCACCACCA
Molecule: small RNA, 103 nt
Filed under: Salmonella enterica subsp. enterica serovar Muenchen
Lineage: Bacteria; Pseudomonadati; Pseudomonadota; Gammaproteobacteria; Enterobacterales; Enterobacteriaceae
Also listed under: 1 other name
Description: partial RtT sRNA
Rfam family: RtT RNA
About the family: This family represents a bacterial cis-regulatory element known as RtT RNA.
Source: RNAcentral